This 973-nucleotide long non-coding RNA is filed under the name Monodelphis domestica (gray short-tailed opossum). Its description in RNAcentral is "lncRNA (ENSMODG00000043119.1)". Lineage: Eukaryota; Metazoa; Chordata; Mammalia; Didelphimorphia; Didelphidae. The record is from RNAcentral.
AUUUCAGAACAACUGUAGCUACCAGCAACCCCACCCCACCAAGGUUUUCAUCUUAAGAUUUUUCCUUGUGAUUGAAAACUUAAGGGAAAGUUGUGUUUCAUUUGUUAGCAUGACAUCUACUGGUGGAUUGAGGGAACAAACUGCCAAUAUCUGCAGCAAUUGGAGAACCUAGAAAAGUUCAAAAGAAAUAUGAAGGAAGGAAAUCUUCCCCAGUCAUCCUUAAUUGAGAGACUGAAAAUCUAAGCAAAAAGAAAACAGACACUCUUCAACACAAAGAAGAAAUACAAGGAUGGAAUGAAGCAUGCAUUUAUUAAGAGUCCAUUAUGUGUCCAUAAUUAUGCUAAGUCAUUUACAAGUAUUAUUUCAUUCAAUCCUCACAGUAACUCUGUCAGGAUUGGCGCACUCUCCAUUGAACCACUUAGUUGCCUAUGGAUUAAGAAAAUCUCAAGAUAAAAUUCCAGGAGGAGAAAAAAAUUACAAAAGUAUUACAAAUAGAACUCUGAACAUUUUAUGCAUUCAUGCAAUAUUCCUUUUAAAUGAACCUCCCUAUAUCUUCAACUCCACAAGGUUUCUUCUAUGAUAGUGUUAAAAUUUCUUUGUUGAAUGUACAUAUCCUUGGACUGUUAGAUUCCUGAUAUUUCUUAUGAGGGGGUCAUUCUAUGGCAUUGCUUAUUACUUAUUAUGUGAGCCAGGGAAUCCUGAAUAAUUUUGAUGUAUUUGGGGAGCUAUUUUCCUAUAAGAGUCUAUGAAGUAGCAUGUUCUAUCAAAUCAAAUGUUUUUUAUAAAUCAUAAACUGCAAAUUACCAGAAAAGAAUGUUAUUUUCACUAUAUCUUUACAUUAAUUGUAAGAUGGAAAAAGUUUUUAUUCUUUACUAUUUCCUAUGAAAGCUUUAUUGUUCUCUACUAAUAUUUUAUUAGAGAUGCCCUUGAAUCACAUAUAGAUAACAAAUAAAUAUAGAUGGGAGAGUUGUCA